Molecule: long non-coding RNA, 285 nt
Filed under: Salvia miltiorrhiza (redroot sage)
Lineage: Eukaryota; Viridiplantae; Streptophyta; Magnoliopsida; Lamiales; Lamiaceae
Description: long non-coding RNA (SMIL_LNC010982)
Source: RNAcentral
ACUCCCUCCGUCCCUGAAAUGGCUUCCUCUUUGGGGACGGCACAGGUUUUAAUAAAAAGUUGUAAAGUGUAUUGAUAGUGGAGAAAAAGUGAUAUAAUUAUUAUUGGAAGUUGUGAAAAGUGUUAUAAUUAGUAUUGAGAGUGGUGAAAAGUGAAAAGUAAGAAUAAAUAAAGUAUUAUUAGUGGUGGGGUAGGUUUCCAAAAAUGGAAAGAAAGAAAGAGGAAGUUAUUUGGGGGACGUCCCAAAAUGGAAAAAGAGGAAGUUAUUUUAGAGACGGAGGGAGUA